RNAcentral lists this ribosomal RNA (468 nucleotides) under uncultured bacterium. Its description in RNAcentral is "partial 16S ribosomal RNA". It matches the Rfam family "Bacterial small subunit ribosomal RNA", at positions 28 to 507 of the family's 1533-position model. The record is from RNAcentral.
GACGAACGCUGGCGGUGUGCUUAACACAUGCAAGUCGAACGGUAAGGCCCUUUCGGGGGUACACGAGUGGCGAACGGGUGAGUAACACGUGAGUAACCUGCCCUCAUCUCUGGGAUAACAGUCGGAAACGGUUGCUAAUACUGGAUAUGAGCUUGCAAGGCAUCUUGUGGGUUGGGAAGAUUUUUUUUGGUUGGGGAUGGACUCGCGGCCUAUCAGCUUGUUGGUGAGGUAGUGGCUCACCAAGGCUUCGACGGGUAGCCGGCCUGAGAGGGCGACCGGCCACAUUGGGACUGAGAUACGGCCCAAACUCCUACGGGAGGCAGCAGUGGGGAAUAUUGCACAAUGGACGGAAGUCUGAUGCAGCAACGCCGCGUGCGGGAUGACGGCCUUCGGGUUGUAAACCGCUUUCAAUUGUGACGAAGCUUUUUUGUGACGGUAGCAGUAGAAGAAGCACCGGCUAACUACGUG